CUUGUACACACCGCCCGUCACGCCAUGGGAGCGGGUUCUGCCAGAAGUAGUUAGCCUAACCGCAAGGAGGGCGAUUACCACGGCAGGGUUCGUGACUGGGGUG
This 103-nucleotide ribosomal RNA is filed under the name uncultured bacterium. RNAcentral describes it as "partial 16S ribosomal RNA". It matches the Rfam family "Bacterial small subunit ribosomal RNA", at positions 1380 to 1482 of the family's 1533-position model. The record is from RNAcentral.